GGCGGCGUAGCUCAGCCGGUAGAGCAGAGGAAUCAUAAUCCUUGUGUCUCGACCAGAGCAUCGCCG
RNAcentral lists this transfer RNA (66 nucleotides) under Micavibrio aeruginosavorus ARL-13. It matches the Rfam family "tRNA". From Rfam's summary of the family: Transfer RNA (tRNA) molecules are approximately 80 nucleotides in length. Lineage: Bacteria; Pseudomonadati; Bdellovibrionota; Bdellovibrionia; Bdellovibrionales; Pseudobdellovibrionaceae. The record is from Rfam by way of RNAcentral.